Molecule: non-coding RNA, 360 nt
Filed under: Phytophthora infestans T30-4
Lineage: Eukaryota; Oomycota; Peronosporomycetes; Peronosporales; Peronosporaceae
Description: Bacterial large subunit ribosomal RNA
Rfam family: Bacterial large subunit ribosomal RNA
Source: Rfam by way of RNAcentral
CAAUAGCCAUAUAGGUUAUUAAACUAUCAUAUGGGGUAGAGUACUCAUUGAGCUAGGGGGUGUAAAAACUUACUAAAUUUUUAGAAACUCCGAAUACAAAAAAAGUAAUUUAAAUAGACAGAUAUUAGGCGCUAAGGUCUAUUGUCAAGAGGGAAACAGCCCAGAUUGAUCGCUAAGGUCUCUAAUAAUAUUCUAAGUGAAAAAGGAAGUGAAAAAAUUAUUACAACCAGUAGGUAGGCUUGGAAGCAGCCAGCCAUCCAUCUUCUCACAAUGCUGUUUACUCCUUUCCGAGGAGCUCUACGAGCGCGAAAACCUUUCAGUUCAAUAUACCGUAUGCUGUUCAAAAUGACCGGGUUUUAG